Molecule: ribosomal RNA, 247 nt
Filed under: uncultured bacterium
Lineage: Bacteria
Description: partial 16S ribosomal RNA
Rfam family: Bacterial small subunit ribosomal RNA
Source: RNAcentral
AUACGGAGGAUGCGAGCGUUAUCCGGAUUCAUUGGGUUUAAAGGGUGCGUAGGCGGCUUUUUAAGUCAGUGGUGAAAUCCUGCCGCUUAACGGUAGAAUUGCCAUUGAUACUGAAGAGCUUGAGUACAAUUGAGGUAAGCGGAAUGUGUAGUGUAGCGGUGAAAUGCUUAGAUAUUACACAGAACACCGAUUGCGAAGGCAGCUUACUAAACUGUCACUGACGCUGAUGCUCGAAAGUGUGGGUAUC